AUGUUCCCAGUGCUUUUCAUGGACCGCUGGUCAUUAUACAUUCUCGAUACUGAGAAGAAGGUUGUGAUGGUGUUUGACCCAACCGAGACAGAUCCGACAGAUGAGAUGAAGAGGAAGCACGAGGCAUUAUCGAGGAAGUUCUGGUUUAGAUUCUGCCACCUGUCCAAUGUCAUGUUCGGUGCAGGUGCAGGGUUGGUCGAGACGACUGGCUGGACAUUUGUGUACCCCCUGGUGGCGCAGCACGAACCAUGCAUGAGGAUAGCAGUGUGUCAUGCGCUACAUUCUGGAGUUCACUGGUCUUUACCUUGGUUCGAUGCUUACCCAAGCACAGCUUGA
Molecule: ribosomal RNA, 336 nt
Filed under: Triticum aestivum (bread wheat)
Lineage: Eukaryota; Viridiplantae; Streptophyta; Magnoliopsida; Poales; Poaceae
Description: partial small subunit ribosomal RNA
Source: RNAcentral